CCCCAGAGCACUUCUCCACUCCUGCCAGGGCGUGAGGACACAGCCAGAAGAUGAAAGUGUAUGAACCUUAAGCAGGUUCCCAGCAAGUAACACACCGGGGACUUCUCUGCCUCCAGAAUAUGUUAGACUGAGACCAUCUCCUGCGACUGAGUACAUCAAUCCCCCGGUACUGCUAAAGGCCUGCCCGUUGUCUAUCAAGCAAACAAAAGAUUCCACAGAAAAGAACAUGGACCAGCCAAGAGGCUUAGAAACCAAGGAAUGACAUGGCAUUGAGUUCCUGGGAGCUAGUUUUGGUAUUUAUAUGAGAGACAGGGUAAUGAAUAAAAUGGCUUAUGUAAUUGA
This is a non-coding RNA of Rattus norvegicus (Norway rat), 342 nucleotides long. Lineage: Eukaryota; Metazoa; Chordata; Mammalia; Rodentia; Muridae. The record is from RefSeq and is a predicted model, not a curated record.